CAGCCGCCACGGUAAUACGGAGGAUCCAAGCGUUAUCCGGAUUUAUUGGGUUUAAAGGGUGCGUAGACGGCCUGUUAAGUCAGGGGUGAAAGACGGUAGCUUAACUAUCGCAGUGCCCUUGAUACUGAUGGGCCUGAAUGUACUAGAGGUAGGCGGAAUGUGACAAGUAGCGGUGAAAUGCAUAGAUAUGUCACAGAACACCAAUUGCGAAGGCAGCUUACUAUGGUAUGAUUGACGCUGAGGCACGAAAGCGUGGGGAUCAAACAGGAUUAGAUACCCCCGUAGUCCCUGUCUCUUAUAC
This 301-nucleotide ribosomal RNA is filed under the name uncultured bacterium. RNAcentral describes it as "partial 16S ribosomal RNA". It matches the Rfam family "Bacterial small subunit ribosomal RNA", at positions 509 to 807 of the family's 1533-position model. The record is from RNAcentral.